RNAcentral lists this ribosomal RNA (497 nucleotides) under uncultured bacterium. RNAcentral's name for it is "partial 16S ribosomal RNA". It matches the Rfam family "Bacterial small subunit ribosomal RNA", at positions 28 to 507 of the family's 1533-position model. The record is from RNAcentral.
GAUGAACGCUGGCGGCGUGCCUAAUACAUGCAAGUCGAGCGAACAGAUGAGGAGCUUGCUCCUCUGACGUUAGCGGCGGACGGGUGAGUAACACGUGGAUAACCUACCUAUAAGACUGGGAUAACUUCGGGAAACCGGAGCUACUACCGGAUAAUAUAUUGAACCGCAUGGUUCAAUAGUGAAAGACGGUUUUGCUGUCACUUAUAGAUGGAUCCGCGCCGCAUUAGCUAGUUGGUAAGGUAACGGCUUACCAAGGCAACGAUGCGUAGCCGACCUGAGAGGGUGAUCGGCCACACUGGAACUGAGACACGGUCCAGACUCCUACGGGAGGCAGCAGUAGGGAAUAUUCCGCAAUGGGCGAAAGCCUGACGGAGCAACGCCGCGUGAGUGAAGAAGGUCUUCGGAUCGUAAAGCUCUGUUAUUGGGGAAGAACAAAUGUGUAAGUAACUAUGCACGUCUUGACGGUACCUAAUCAGAAAGCCACGGCUAACUACGUG